UAGGGAAUCUUCCGCAAUGGACGAAAGUCUGACGGAGCAACGCCGCGUGAGUGAAGAAGGAUUUCGGUUCGUAAAACUCUGUUGUUAGGGAAGAAAAAAUGUAUAGUAACUAUAUACAAAAGAGACGGUACCUAACCAGAAAGCCACGGCUAACUACGUGCCAGCAGCCGCGGUAAUACGUAGGUGGCAAGCGUUGUCCGGAAUUAUUGGGCGUAAAGCGCGCGCAGGUGGUUUAGAAAGUCUGAUGUGAAAGCCCACGGCUCAACCGUGGAGGGGCAUUGGAAACUAAGAAACUUGAGUGCAGGAGAGAAAAGUGGAAUUCCUAGUGUAGCGGUGAAAUGCGUAGAGAUUAGGAGGAACACCGGUGGCGAAAGCGGCUUUUUGGCCUGCAACUGACACUGAGGCGCGAAAGAGUGGGGAGCAAACAGG
RNAcentral lists this ribosomal RNA (429 nucleotides) under Verrucomicrobiota bacterium. Its description in RNAcentral is "Verrucomicrobia bacterium partial 16S ribosomal RNA". It matches the Rfam family "Bacterial small subunit ribosomal RNA", at positions 355 to 776 of the family's 1533-position model. The record is from RNAcentral. Lineage: Bacteria; Pseudomonadati; Verrucomicrobiota.